RNAcentral lists this ribosomal RNA (253 nucleotides) under uncultured bacterium. RNAcentral's name for it is "partial 16S ribosomal RNA". It matches the Rfam family "Bacterial small subunit ribosomal RNA", at positions 524 to 776 of the family's 1533-position model. The record is from RNAcentral.
UACGGAGGGUGCAAACGUUGCUCGGAAUCACUGGGCGUAAAGCGUACGCAGGCGGGUCGAUAAGUCCGUUGUGAAAUCCCAGGGCUCAACUCUGGAACUGCGAUGGAGACUGCCGAUCUUGAGUACGGGAGAGGGGAGCGGAAUUCCUGGUGUAGAGGUGAAAUUCGUAGAUAUCAGGAGGAACACCGGUGGCGAAAGCGGCUCCCUGGCCCGAUACUGACGCUCAUGUACGAAAGCGUGGGGAGCAAACAGG